Molecule: unclassified non-coding RNA, 241 nt
Filed under: Hevea brasiliensis (rubber tree)
Lineage: Eukaryota; Viridiplantae; Streptophyta; Magnoliopsida; Malpighiales; Euphorbiaceae
Source: RNAcentral
AGAGAGAGAGAGAGAGAGAGAGAGAGGGCAUGGGCGUGUGUUUAAGACAUUUUUUAGAGAGAGAGAGCUGGGCGGGAUGCGAAAACCGUUUCGGGGGCUUAUCUGGAAAAGUGAAUUUUCCGUUUUAUUUUUCUUGCGUUUUCUUUCGCGAGAAAAUUCUAGGGAGGGAAUGAGAAAAGCCGAAAAGGGCGGGUUGGUCUUGCCCCGUUCCAACCAUUUUCCCUUCUUGCCGACGCGGGAC